GAUGAACGCUGGCGGCGUGCCUAAUACAUGCAAGUCGAGCGAACGGACGAGAAGCUUGCUUCUCUGAUGUUAGCGGCGGACGGGUGAGUAACACGUGGAUAACCUACCUAUAAGACUGGGAUAACUUCGGGAAACCGGAGCUAAUACCGGAUAAUAUUUUGAACCGCAUGGUUCAAAAGUGAAAGACGGUCUUGCUGUCACUUAUAGAUGGAUCCGCGCUGCAUUAGCUAGUUGGUAAGGUAACGGCUUACCAAGGCAACGAUGCAUAGCCGACCUGAGAGGGUGAUCGGCCACACUGGAACUGAGACACGGUCCAGACUCCUACGGGAGGCAGCAGUAGGGAAUCUUCCGCAAUGGGCGAAAGCCUGACGGAGCAACGCCGCGUGAGUGAUGAAGGUCUUCGGAUCGUAAAACUCUGUUAUUAGGGAAGAACAUAUGUGUAAGUAACUGUGCACAUCUUGACGGUACCUAAUCAGAAAGCCACGGCUAACUACGUGCCAGCAGCCGCGGUAAUACGUAGGUGGCAAGCGUUAUCCGGAAUUAUUGGGCGUAAAGCGCGCGUAGGCGGUUUUUUAAGUCUGAUGUGAAAGCCCACGGCUCAACCGUGGAGGGUCAUUGGAAACUGGAAAACUUGAGUGCAGAAGAGGAAAGUGGAAUUCCAUGUGUAGCGGUGAAAUGCGCAGAGAUAUGGAGGAACACCAGUGGCGAAGGCGACUUUCUGGUCUGUAACUGACGCUGAUGUGCGAAAGCGUGGGGAUCAAACAGGAUUAGAUACCCUGGUAGUCCACGCCGUAAACGAUGAGUGCUAAGUGUUAGGGGGUUUCCGCCCCUUAGUGCUGCAGCUAACGCAUUAAGCACUCCGCCUGGGGAGUACGACCGCAAGGUUGAAACUCAAAGGAAUUGACGGGGACCCGCACAAGCGGUGGAGCAUGUGGUUUAAUUCGAAGCAACGCGAAGAACCUUACCAAAUCUUGACAUCCUUUGACAACUCUAGAGAUAGAGCUUUCCCCUUCGGGGGACAAAGUGACAGGUGGUGCAUGGUUGUCGUCAGCUCGUGCCGUGAGAUGUUGGGUUAAGUCCCGCAACGAGCGCAACCCUUAAGCUUAGUUGCCAUCAUUAAGUUGGGCACUCUAAGUUGACUGCCGGUGACAAACCGGAGGAAGGUGGGGAUGACGUCAAAUCAUCAUGCCCCUUAUGAUUUGGGCUACACACGUGCUACAAUGGACAAUACAAAGGGCAGCGAAACCGCGAGGUCAAGCAAAUCCCAUAAAGUUGUUCUCAGUUCGGAUUGUAGUCUGCAACUCGACUACAUGAAGCUGGAAUCGCUAGUAAUCGUAGAUCAGCAUGCUACGGUGAAUACGUUCCCGGGUCU
RNAcentral lists this ribosomal RNA (1372 nucleotides) under uncultured bacterium. Its description in RNAcentral is "bacterial SSU rRNA". It matches the Rfam family "Bacterial small subunit ribosomal RNA", at positions 28 to 1381 of the family's 1533-position model. The record is from RNAcentral.